This 240-nucleotide unclassified non-coding RNA is filed under the name soil metagenome. RNAcentral's name for it is "partial contains 5.8S ribosomal RNA, internal transcribed spacer 2, and large subunit ribosomal RNA". The record is from RNAcentral.
AACCAUAGAAACCUGCGGAGUACCUGCGGAGGGAUCAUUAUAGUAUAUGGAAUCUCCAUUCUAUAAACCCACUCUGCGUAUCUUGUAACUGUUGCUUCCAUGGGACUUGGUUCCGCCACACCGGCUUCACGGCUGGUGAGCGCCCAUGGAAGGAGAAACGAAACUCUUCUUUGAAAUGUAGUCAGUCUGAACAAGUUUUUAUAAACGUUAAAACUUUUAGCAACGGAUCUCAGAUCGGAA